AACAGGGUCUCAUUAUGGAGCGAAAGAUGGCCGCAAUUCACACUCCUCCUCGCUCACCUUCUGAGUGCUGGGAACAAGGUGUCCUUUCACACGUCUGCUUCAGCAAAACAUCCUUUCACCUGUGUGCCCCAGCAAAACAUCGUUUGACAACUGACUUUCCAUGGAAAGCGGAAGUUUCCACUUCGCCAAUGUGUUAUGGAAUAAUAAAACUCUCUGGGUUCU
Non-coding RNA from Rattus norvegicus (Norway rat), 222 nucleotides. The record is from RefSeq and is a predicted model, not a curated record. NCBI's taxonomy places the organism in Eukaryota, Metazoa, Chordata, Mammalia, Rodentia, Muridae.